GGGGGUGACCGGUUUCGACUUGGGACGGUAGUCGCAAGGGAAGCGGGCCGAGGAUCCACGCUUAUCUCGUUAACGAUGCAUGGAAACCAAUAAGUGCCAACAACAACCGCACUGACUUCGCUCUCGCUGCCUGAUCAGCGAUCGAAGGGUCAACCCGGACGAGCCUUCGGUCCGGGACCUGGCCUCAUUUAGAGGGCUUGCUGCCCAGCUUGUGUUUCAGGGGCUGGGUGGGACUUAACUGAUACUGGGUCCGUUUGCGACGUGCUGACGCGAGUGCAAGGACCGAGAAGACGCCAUCGUCAGCUGCGCCCGGAGAAGACUUGCUUCGCCGCUUAAGGACGCGGGUUCGAUUCCCGCCACCUCCACCC
RNAcentral lists this transfer-messenger RNA (368 nucleotides) under Propionibacteriaceae. RNAcentral describes it as "Arachnia oleiagri Standard tmRNA". It matches the Rfam family "transfer-messenger RNA". Rfam says of the family: Bacterial tmRNA, also known as 10Sa RNA or SsrA, is named for its dual tRNA and mRNA-like properties. Its role is to liberate the mRNA from a stalled ribosome. RNAcentral also lists the same sequence under 1 other name. The record is from RNAcentral. Lineage: Bacteria; Bacillati; Actinomycetota; Actinomycetes; Propionibacteriales.